GCUUGGUGGUGAGGGCAUUUGUGCAAAAGGUCUUUAAAGCGCUCCCAAGUCUCGAAAAAUUGUUCCCCAUCCAAUUGUGAGAAACUAGUGAUGGCUUUCCUCAACU
Small nucleolar RNA from Malania oleifera, 106 nucleotides. The record is from RefSeq and is a predicted model, not a curated record. Lineage: Eukaryota; Viridiplantae; Streptophyta; Magnoliopsida; Santalales; Ximeniaceae.